AUAUCUAAUCUCCUGCCUUUUUUUUUUCUUUUUUGGCCUUUCGCGGCGACUUGUCUAGGGCACAUCCUGUGUCUGCAAAUUCCCCAGGUUAAUUACACAUCGUGUGCGCGCGCGCGCGCGCGCUCUUGUCUGUCUGUCUGGGGGGGGAAGGGGAGGGCAUAGCUAUCCAAUUAGUACGCUUUCUCUGCCUUUUCCUCCCAACCCCUGUCGUUUCUUUGCUCUCCAAAGCCGGUCCUUGUUUGUGGAUCUGGGCUGAGGAUGAGAACCCUGGAGAGGGAGCUUUUAUACGCCUCUCCUCGCCGCGCGCCUCCGGCGCCCCCACCCCUUUCUCUCUCCACAAUAGAGGCUCUGCUCUGGCUAAUCACUCUUCGCUCUUCCACCUUCUCCCUCCUCCUCUCUCCCCCUCCCCCUCCCCCGCCCCCGCCUCUCCUGGCUGGCUGGCUGCACCACUAUUUUCCUCUUGCCCUUCCCCGAUGGUCCAUCUUUAUUUCUGCUCUGGGCUGACCAGAGCGGUUUCCAGCCCAAAAGGAGAGCGAGCGGGUCGUGGCAUGACUUGCGGGGCCCCGGUGCCACCGAGGCACUCUGGAGCCUCUGUCCGGGGAAUAACAGCGCCGGCCGGGGAUUGGAGAAAUUGCUUCCAGCCCUUAAAGUGACCUGCAGGACCUUCACACCCAGCCAACGCAGGACAGGAAGGGCUGGGCAGACAGAAGGCGAAGGGAGCGAGACACAGAGAGUCCUGGAGUGGGCACAGAAGAAGCUGCAGCCGGGGGCAAAGGAAAGGUCCCCUGCAGCGCCGUCCUCUCCCCCUAGGGAACAGGGCUCCCCAUCCGAGCUGCAAGGCUUCCCGGGAGACAUGAGAUGCUCUGAGGUCUGGAGGGAGGGCAGCCCCAGCCCAUCUCUUCCCCCUGGCCUGCUCAAGGGGCUCCCGGGCAGUUCUCCUAAAGGCACUCCUUGGGGUGACUGUUUGCUCAGUUCAAUGAAGCUCUUUCCCACUCUCAGGCCAGAUCUCGGUCCACACUCGAUGGCCAACGUCCUCCUUCAAGGGGUUAAUCAAGCACUCUUUGUUUGUGUGCAGCUCUGGGUGGUGGUGAGUGUCUUGUGUGUGUGUGUGGUGAAGGGAUGGCAAGCCUUUGAGAGGCUUUAGAGGCCGAGCAGAGCCCCCGCCCCACCCCCUUACCCCAGACAGGGGAGGGAGUAAGCACUCCCAUGGGGUCUUAAGUGGGGUGGAAAGGGGGGAAGGGAACAGCCCCCUUCCGCCUGUUGGCUACAGUGCCACACGUUGGCCAGCACAGGACUAGGGAGUUCCAAAG
RNAcentral lists this long non-coding RNA (1310 nucleotides) under Monodelphis domestica (gray short-tailed opossum). RNAcentral's name for it is "lncRNA (ENSMODG00000039940.1)". The record is from RNAcentral. Lineage: Eukaryota; Metazoa; Chordata; Mammalia; Didelphimorphia; Didelphidae.